This 422-nucleotide ribosomal RNA is filed under the name Stenotrophomonas maltophilia. Its description in RNAcentral is "bacterial SSU rRNA". It matches the Rfam family "Bacterial small subunit ribosomal RNA", at positions 348 to 762 of the family's 1533-position model. The record is from RNAcentral. Lineage: Bacteria; Pseudomonadati; Pseudomonadota; Gammaproteobacteria; Lysobacterales; Lysobacteraceae.
GCAGCAGUGGGGAAUAUUGGACAAUGGGCGCAAGCCUGAUCCAGCCAUACCGCGUGGGUGAAGAAGGCCUUCGGGUUGUAAAGCCCUUUUGUUGGGAAAGAAAUCCAGCUGGCUAAUACCCGGUUGGGAUGACGGUACCCAAAGAAUAAGCACCGGCUAACUUCGUGCCAGCAGCCGCGGUAAUACGAAGGGUGCAAGCGUUACUCGGAAUUACUGGGCGUAAAGCGUGCGUAGGUGGUCGUUUAAGUCCGUUGUGAAAGCCCUGGGCUCAACCUGGGAACUGCAGUGGAUACUGGGCGACUAGAGUGUGGUAGAGGGUAGCGGAAUUCCUGGUGUAGCAGUGAAAUGCGUAGAGAUCAGGAGGAACAUCCAUGGCGAAGGCAGCUACCUGGACCAACACUGACACUGAGGCACGAAAGCGU